RNAcentral lists this ribosomal RNA (1567 nucleotides) under Lactiplantibacillus plantarum. Its description in RNAcentral is "16S ribosomal RNA". It matches the Rfam family "Bacterial small subunit ribosomal RNA". The record is from RNAcentral. Lineage: Bacteria; Bacillati; Bacillota; Bacilli; Lactobacillales; Lactobacillaceae.
UAAUUUGAGAGUUUGAUCCUGGCUCAGGACGAACGCUGGCGGCGUGCCUAAUACAUGCAAGUCGAACGAACUCUGGUAUUGAUUGGUGCUUGCAUCAUGAUUUACAUUUGAGUGAGUGGCGAACUGGUGAGUAACACGUGGGAAACCUGCCCAGAAGCGGGGGAUAACACCUGGAAACAGAUGCUAAUACCGCAUAACAACUUGGACCGCAUGGUCCGAGCUUGAAAGAUGGCUUCGGCUAUCACUUUUGGAUGGUCCCGCGGCGUAUUAGCUAGAUGGUGGGGUAAUGGCUCACCAUGGCAAUGAUACGUAGCCGACCUGAGAGGGUAAUCGGCCACAUUGGGACUGAGACACGGCCCAAACUCCUACGGGAGGCAGCAGUAGGGAAUCUUCCACAAUGGACGAAAGUCUGAUGGAGCAACGCCGCGUGAGUGAAGAAGGGUUUCGGCUCGUAAAACUCUGUUGUUAAAGAAGAACAUAUCUGAGAGUAACUGUUCAGGUAUUGACGGUAUUUAACCAGAAAGCCACGGCUAACUACGUGCCAGCAGCCGCGGUAAUACGUAGGUGGCAAGCGUUGUCCGGAUUUAUUGGGCGUAAAGCGAGCGCAGGCGGUUUUUUAAGUCUGAUGUGAAAGCCUUCGGCUCAACCGAAGAAGUGCAUCGGAAACUGGGAAACUUGAGUGCAGAAGAGGACAGUGGAACUCCAUGUGUAGCGGUGAAAUGCGUAGAUAUAUGGAAGAACACCAGUGGCGAAGGCGGCUGUCUGGUCUGUAACUGACGCUGAGGCUCGAAAGUAUGGGUAGCAAACAGGAUUAGAUACCCUGGUAGUCCAUACCGUAAACGAUGAAUGCUAAGUGUUGGAGGGUUUCCGCCCUUCAGUGCUGCAGCUAACGCAUUAAGCAUUCCGCCUGGGGAGUACGGCCGCAAGGCUGAAACUCAAAGGAAUUGACGGGGGCCCGCACAAGCGGUGGAGCAUGUGGUUUAAUUCGAAGCUACGCGAAGAACCUUACCAGGUCUUGACAUACUAUGCAAAUCUAAGAGAUUAGACGUUCCCUUCGGGGACAUGGAUACAGGUGGUGCAUGGUUGUCGUCAGCUCGUGUCGUGAGAUGUUGGGUUAAGUCCCGCAACGAGCGCAACCCUUAUUAUCAGUUGCCAGCAUUAAGUUGGGCACUCUGGUGAGACUGCCGGUGACAAACCGGAGGAAGGUGGGGAUGACGUCAAAUCAUCAUGCCCCUUAUGACCUGGGCUACACACGUGCUACAAUGGAUGGUACAACGAGUUGCGAACUCGCGAGAGUAAGCUAAUCUCUUAAAGCCAUUCUCAGUUCGGAUUGUAGGCUGCAACUCGCCUACAUGAAGUCGGAAUCGCUAGUAAUCGCGGAUCAGCAUGCCGCGGUGAAUACGUUCCCGGGCCUUGUACACACCGCCCGUCACACCAUGAGAGUUUGUAACACCCAAAGUCGGUGGGGUAACCUUUUAGGAACCAGCCGCCUAAGGUGGGACAGAUGAUUAGGGUGAAGUCGUAACAAGGUAGCCGUAGGAGAACCUGCGGCUGGAUCACCUCCUUU